AUUAAGGUCCUCUGGAUUGUAAACUUCUUUUAUAUGGGACGAAAAAAGGUCUUUCUAGACCCCUUGACGGUACCAUAUGAAUAAGCACCGGCUAACUCCGUGCCAGCAGCCGCGGUAAUACGGAGGGUGCAAGCGUUAUCCGGAUUCACUGGGUUUAAAGGGUGCGUAGGCGGGUAGGUAAGUCAGUGGUGAAAUCCUGGAGCUCAACUCCAGAACUGCCAUUGAUACUAUCUGUCUUGAAUAUUGUGGAGGUAAGCGGAAUAUGUCAUGUAGCGGUGAAAUGCUUAGAUAUGACAUAGAACACCUAUUGCGAAGGCAGCUUACUACGCAUAUAUUGACGC
Molecule: ribosomal RNA, 341 nt
Filed under: uncultured Sediminibacterium sp.
Lineage: Bacteria; Pseudomonadati; Bacteroidota; Chitinophagia; Chitinophagales; Chitinophagaceae
Description: bacterial SSU rRNA
Rfam family: Bacterial small subunit ribosomal RNA
Source: RNAcentral